This is a long non-coding RNA of Sciurus carolinensis (gray squirrel), 729 nucleotides long. RefSeq lists it as uncharacterized. Lineage: Eukaryota; Metazoa; Chordata; Mammalia; Rodentia; Sciuridae. The transcript has 4 exons. The record is from RefSeq and is a predicted model, not a curated record.
AAGGAUCCACAGCCGUCACAGACCAGCCCUGUGUGCUGGAAAUUAACAGAGGAAGAACGGGCAUCCUGGAGGUUGGGCUCUGGGGUCCGGGGCAGAGCUGCUAAUUCUUGCACAGUCCAAAUCCCUGAGCUGCCUCCGAGUUCUAAGAGCGUGGGGAUGUGUCACCUGGUGACAGAGGGAACCCCUUCGAGAACCUGCCAGCCCAUCAGUCACAGGUCUGCAAGAGAAUGAAGAUGGGCUUUCCCCAAGACCACCGGUGCCCGGUCCUGCCAAUACUCCUUUCUCCAAACGUCACCUCAUACAGCAGCCAGGGUGACAGAGGAUUCUAGAAGGGCCGAGUGAGGGCGUGGUGGGGCUUUGCACCCCUCCUCAGAGCUGGCUUGGUGUUCAGACCCGGAGACCCCUCCAGGAACGCAGAGUGUCAGACCCCGACCUGCCAGAGGCCGAUAUGGUGAGGAUAUGCUGUGCUCAGGGCUCAGUUACCAGCAAAACAAUGGCCAGGUGGAGCUAACAACGAUUGAGUUCUCUGUGUCUAUUAUCCCUGCCGACCAGGUCACGAGCCCAGGGUGGCCAUUUUUACCAUCGCUGGGGGAAGAUGACUCAGAGGCAAGCGCAGCCAAGGAAGGGUCCUUCCAGGUUCUUGGUGACAUAAUCUGAGUGACUGGAUCCAGCUGUACCUGAUAUCUAUUCCUGAAUUUUUCAAAUCUAAAUGAAUUAAAUUGUGUGCAA